Molecule: ribosomal RNA, 208 nt
Filed under: uncultured bacterium
Lineage: Bacteria
Description: partial 16S ribosomal RNA
Rfam family: Bacterial small subunit ribosomal RNA
Source: RNAcentral
UAACCUAACCCCUUUCGAGUGGGGGGAGUAAACCUCGGGAAACCGGGGCGUAAUAACCGCAUAAUAUCGAGAGAUCAAAGGAGCAAUUCGCUUAAGGAGGGGGUCGGCGGCUGAUUAGCUAGUUGGUGAGGUAAUGGCUCACCAAGGCUAUGAUCAGUAUCCGGCCUGAGAGGGCGCACGGACACACUGGAACUGAAACACGGUCCAG